GCCUCAAAUGAUCCUCCCGCCUCAGUCUCACAAAGUGUUGGGAUUACAGGCAUGAGCCACCGCACCCGGCCCAUUCUACCUUCAUAUGUCCUUUCCUCCUGCCCACCAACCUCCAUCUUUUCAUGAAUGAAAAUCCCACCCACCCUCUGUGCCUAUGAAACCUUCCCAGACUCCCUCAGCCCCUGGCUCCACACCUCCCAUAACUCCUGUGCAGUGCAUCACUUGUGAUUCUUUCGGUGCAGUCUCGCUCCUGCACUUCUGAGCUGCUGAAGGAGGUUCUCUGCUACCCAAAGCACACUGGCCCGUAACCAUGUUCAGCUCACUUUUGUGCCCAGAGACAUCAGCUACUUCAUAAUUACCAUGGACAAUCUUCUGCUUUUUCCACCUGAAUCACCUUGAUAUCUAGUUGCCUUUUUGGAUACCAAUAAGUAACACUCAUACCCAGCUCACUAAGUGCCUAAGAAGAAUGUCGCCCCCUCCUCCCUCAGUCAAGUAUCCUCGUUGGAGCAUGAUCUACACUUGCGCCAUCUACUCGUGCCUUGCCUAUAUCCCUCUGAAUACAAUUCUUGGUUUACUCUUGUUUAGUGAGAAGGAAGCUUGUUCACUAUCUUCAGCACACUGCUCCUUCACACUUUCAAAAAAUGUCUAAAAGCACUUAAAACUCCCUCUUUGUAGAGGCUUGAUCUGUUUUAAACAUAAGGACUGGAUGCUGGUAUGGCCACUGCUCUUGUCUCGAAUAGGAACCGCAGUGGGGGUACUGUUCCUGUCUCGAAUAGGAACCGCAGUGGGGGUACUGUUCCUGUCUCGAAUAGGAACCGUGGUGGGGGUACUGUUCCUGUCUCGAAUAGGAACCACGGUGGGGGUACUGUUCCUGUCUCGAAUAGGAACCGCGGUGGGGGUACUGUUCCUGUCUCGAAUAGGAACCGCGGUGGGGGUAAUGCAGGAAUGUGUCAAGUGGUUACUCAUCCCCCACUGCUGCCAAGCAGGACGACAUGUAAUAAGUCUCAUUUUAGCUCCGACAGGCGUGUCCCUAUAACAUAUGACAGUUCAAACACUGGCCCUUGUGUAAGAUAAAAAUCACUUGACAUUUUUUAGCAUUCUAGAAUAUUUUGGAGAGGAAUCAGGAGCAAACCAAUGCCAAGGGUAAAGAAGUCUGAAUUCAAGGGGUAGCAAAAGGUAAGGGUAGUUAUUGUCAGAUGUGGUUAAAAGGCAGGCAGGACCCCAGCUCUGCAGAAUCGUGCAGAUGAGGCAAAGGAGCAUCUCAGAGACAAAGCUGCUACUUACAAGAACUUCUGAUCUCAACCAGUCAGAACUCAAGAGUGAAUCCUUUGAGGUGACUGGAGCCAACUGAUUCCCUGAGACCCCCUACCCUUGGGACAGCUUAAAGGCUUAAGACUACAGAUGAGUAUUAUUAGAAAACGGGGCCACACCAGAACCAGCGGGAGAAUCUCUCAUUCCAUGGACUUUACGCUCCAGGAGAUACCAAGUGGCCCAGUGGGAGGGUGGGGUUUGGAAUGCCGUGGAAUCUGUUUGCAAUAUGUUGGCUCGUUUUUCUCCAGAAAUAUUCUGCCUGCCCUAGGGGGUAGCUCAGAUGUUGGCAGGACUCACCUCCUCAGCUAUCUCAGGAAAAAAAAAAAUCAAUCCUUAGUCCUUUUUCCCAUUGCAAGUCAUAAGAGAAUGUGCUUCCACCCCAGGGUAGCAUGUGCCAGCCAGGUGGUGAGGUCAUUGGAGCAGGAGUCCCAGGGAACAGGAGGAGCACGGACAGUUACAACCGACUAUAGAUCCUCAACAGCCAACAGAGAA
Cercocebus atys (sooty mangabey) is the source of this 1803-nucleotide long non-coding RNA. RefSeq lists it as uncharacterized. The record is from RefSeq and is a predicted model, not a curated record. Lineage: Eukaryota; Metazoa; Chordata; Mammalia; Primates; Cercopithecidae. The transcript is spliced from 2 exons.